UACGGAGGGUACGAGCGUUAAUCGGAAUGACUGGGCGUAAAGUGAGCGCAGGCGGUCUGAUCAGUCGGAUGUGAAAGCCCCGGGCUUAACCUGGGAAUUGCAUUCGAUACUGUCAGACUAGAGUAUGGGAGAGGGAAGUGGAAUUUCUAGUGUAGCGGUGAAAUGCGUAGAUAUUAGAAGGAACACCAGUGGCGAAGGCGGCUUCCUGGCCCAAUACUGACGCUCAGGCUCGAAAGCGUGGGGAGCGAACAGG
RNAcentral lists this ribosomal RNA (253 nucleotides) under uncultured bacterium. RNAcentral's name for it is "partial 16S ribosomal RNA". It matches the Rfam family "Bacterial small subunit ribosomal RNA", at positions 524 to 776 of the family's 1533-position model. The record is from RNAcentral.